RNAcentral lists this ribosomal RNA (322 nucleotides) under Calliptamus barbarus. RNAcentral describes it as "partial 16S ribosomal RNA". It matches the Rfam family "Archaeal large subunit ribosomal RNA", at positions 2070 to 2596 of the family's 2987-position model. Lineage: Eukaryota; Metazoa; Arthropoda; Insecta; Orthoptera; Acrididae. The record is from RNAcentral.
UGAAUGGCUUGACGAGAAAUCAACUGUCUCUUAAUAAUUUUUAAAAUUUAACUUUUGAGUCAAAAGGCUUAAAUUUUUCUUUAGGACGAGAAGACCCUAUAGAGCUUAACAUUUUAUUUUUAUAUAGUUUUUAGUUGAUCUUUCUAUAUUUAAUGAUAAUGUUUUGUUGGGGUGACAUGAAGAAUAAUUAAACUCUUCGUUAUAAAAUCAUUGAUUUAUGUUUAUCAUGAUCCAUAAUUUAUGAUCAUAAGAUUAAGUUACCUUAGGGAUAACAGCGUAAUUGUUUUCGAGAGCUCAUAUCGACAAAGCAGAUUGCGACCUC